RNAcentral lists this unclassified non-coding RNA (1275 nucleotides) under Hevea brasiliensis (rubber tree). The record is from RNAcentral. Lineage: Eukaryota; Viridiplantae; Streptophyta; Magnoliopsida; Malpighiales; Euphorbiaceae.
AUCAAUAGUAGCAGGAACAAAAUGUUGUGGACAUUGAAGGCAUGCAAAAAUAGCAUCUUGUGUUCCACAUUGGUUGAUGAGUGGGGAAAGAAAACGAAUCUUUCCUGAUUGAAUUAGAAGAAAAUAUAAAUAUCAUUUCCAUUGAGGUCAGUAAAUAAUAGUAACUACUACCUACGAGAGCGAGCAUCCACUGAUUUUCAAGCCAUUGCUUCUGUCAAAUCAACAUAUGCAUGUGUGGUCCACGGAGAGGGGCGAAGGCACACUAGAACCUCGUGCUCUUCUGGUCCUACACGCUGCUUAGGCACAUGAAUUUCAAGCAUAGUUCCAGUUUCAUCUCCAUAUGCUUCUAGUUUUGCGUCUUCUGGAAUGCGAGUCCUAAGAGGGAUUUCCCUGACAAAUUCCCCUGAAGGGCAGUGCUCCGGAGCUGGAUCUGAUAGCUUGAAAGUCCUGUUUUGUCUUUUGAUGAUGGGGAUACAUCCAGUGCUGACACAAGAUAUCUUCACGAUCCCAUGAGAGAUGGUAUUUCUCCAAGUGACUUUGACACUUUUCAGAUCCACAAAAGGCAUGCUAACAAGUAUCAAGAACCCUGCGUCGUCUUCAUAAAUAGUUUUUGCAGCUGUAACGGGACCAGAUGCUACUUGCAUAGCACCAGAAAAAUCUCUUAGCCAGGGUGCGCUAAUUGGAUGGAUAUCUGUAAGCCUCUCAGGAUGUUGACUAGUAGGCAAACAGCAAUCAUCAUUGUUUCCUCGAGUAAAUCCAUUUUUCUUCCUCUUGUUGCAGACAGACAAAAUGUUUAGUCCUUCUCCAUUUACAUGGUUUGCAGAUCGAGUAGAUAGAUUCAGACUUGAUCCAUUCAACAAUCUCUCUGUACGAGGAAGUGCGUUGCUCUUCAAUGCAGGAAGCCGUUCAAGCUCAAACUCUGUAUGCGGAAGGCACCUCCAUGACUCAAAGUCACUGGCUUCAGAAGGAAUUGAAAAAUUCAUGUCUCGUCCUGUAAGCUCCAUCCACUUCUUUUGCUCCUCCUUAUCAAGACCUGUAAGAUUAGGUGACCUAACAACUUCAAUUCCAUGAAGGCACUGAGGGUUCGAAAGACCUCUGUAAUGUUUCCUCUGCAUUUUGUGAGAUCGAACAAAACCUUUCUCUGCAGUGAAAGGAAAGGGGCUCUCUCCCUGGCGUGAAUGCCCGUUCAUGUAACUCCUCAAUUGCAUCUUGCCAAGAGCAUUUUCAGGCCUGUCCUUGAAAACCCACAUGUACAUAUUCUCCAUAUCAUGCUGA